RNAcentral lists this small RNA (1243 nucleotides) under Pyricularia oryzae. RNAcentral's name for it is "Magnaporthe oryzae sRNA M_BR32_EuGene_00144761". The record is from RNAcentral. Lineage: Eukaryota; Fungi; Ascomycota; Sordariomycetes; Magnaporthales; Pyriculariaceae.
AAUUAUAAUUUAUCUUAAUUAAUAUAUUAUAUUUAAACAUUUUAUUAAAUUUAACAGAAUAUGUAUAAUAACCCUUAUUAUAUAUAUUAAACUAGAUUAUUUCCGCAUUAUUUAUUCCAGCUAAUGUUUUUAUCCCACAUUUACUUUCUAUUACAACCGUGUCGCAAAACCUUAUAAUUAAAACCGAUACAAUAUUUGCUAAAUGCAAAAAUUGCAGGGCCUUUUCUUUUCUUAGCCUAUUUUUUAUAUUGUCGAGCAAAAUAUAAUAUUUCUCAAUUCUAUUUUACUUUUCCCCUUUUAUUAAAUGGGGUAAUAAUAAUAUAAAAUAUAUUAGUCCCGUUUCAAAUAUUUCGUAACUAUUAUUAAAUUAAUUCCCGCACUGCAAAAAAACGUCGGCAUUUUUACUUUUAUUUUAUAUUAUUUAAUUGGUUUAAUUGAAAUAAUUGGUAUUAAAUCAAUAUUUUUUGUAAUUUAACGCCCACUGCGCAAAUUGCUUCCAAAAUAUAUUUCAAUUAUAGUUUUAAUACUGUUUCAAUAUACGCGGUAAAUAGCGUUUUAAUCGUUGUUUCACUUUGUAUCAUCGCGUUAUUAACGUUAAAUUUCUAAAUUACCAAAAUAAUUUAUAAUUUGUAUUUACUUUUAGAAACUCUUAACCGUUUCACUGUUUUUAAAAACAAUGGUUAAUUUUACGCGGUAGAAAAAUACGGAAUUUAUUUUUAUAAAAUUUUUAAUUACGAGUAUAUAAUAACGUUUUAUAUUAAAAACCGACGAAGUAUUUAUUAAAUGCAAAUAUUAUAGGACUUUUUAUUCUCUUGGUUUAUUUAUUAAAUUGUCAGGCGAAUUACAGCAAUUUUAGAAUUUAAUAAUAAACUUUUACCGUUAUAUUAUUUUCGAACGAUUAAUUUCAAAUUUGUUUCUAUUCUUAAUAAUAACCUUCGUAAAAUUUAAUAAGGGAUUUCCAAAAAAUGGUCUUUGACAAAAUAUAAAUUUGGCAAGUUGUUUUACACUUAUUUAGCUUUAUAUAUUACCAGAACCCAGCUUUAAAUAAUUAAAUAAUAGUUUUAAAUUCUCAUAUUUGAAAAACCGCUGUAUUUUAUCACCAAUUUUAAUCCCGUAUUUCUUAUAAUAUUAGUAACAUAUUUUCAAUUUUAAAUUAGAAAAUAUAAAUAUCACAAAUUGAAUAUCCAGGGCCGUUAACAUUAUAUUUAAUAACAAAUAUAAAUAUGUUUUAAUUAAAUUUAAU